RNAcentral lists this transfer RNA (73 nucleotides) under Ovis aries (sheep). It matches the Rfam family "tRNA". From Rfam's summary of the family: Transfer RNA (tRNA) molecules are approximately 80 nucleotides in length. Their secondary structure includes four short double-helical elements and three loops (D, anti-codon, and T loops). The record is from Rfam by way of RNAcentral. Lineage: Eukaryota; Metazoa; Chordata; Mammalia; Artiodactyla; Bovidae.
UCCUUUGUAUCUCAGUUGGUAAAGAAUCUGUCUGCAAUGCAGGAAGACCCAAGUUCGAUUCCUGGGUCGGGAA